Molecule: transfer RNA, 84 nt
Filed under: Quisquiliibacterium transsilvanicum
Lineage: Bacteria; Pseudomonadati; Pseudomonadota; Betaproteobacteria; Burkholderiales; Burkholderiaceae
Description: tRNA-Leu
Source: RNAcentral
GAAGUGCUAGAAAAGCCUGUCCCGACGGACUUAAAAUCCGGAGGCCGCAAGGCCGUCCCGGUUCGAUCCCGGGUCGGGGCACCA